GGACGAUGGGCAUUGUAGUCCCCGAACAGCUGGAGGACCCGCUUCCCUCAGAGCUGCCACCAUUCCACCCUAAUCCGUUAUCGGAACGAAUUGCUGGUGUUGCCGUUUGUAAACUACAAUGCCCAGCACCCCGACCGCUGUGAGCUAGGGAUGAUGGGAGUUGUAGUCCCAAAACAGCUGGAGGGCCUCGCCAGGUUCAACAUGCUGCCAUCUGCCUUAUUGUAGGGCAGAUUCGCGGGUAAUCCAUAAUCCAUAAUCCACAGAAGGAGUCUGCCCCUGCGGCUUGAUGGAGGUAGAAACUGUCUCUAAUGUCUUGUUACGCUUGGCAUUUAUCACCCCUGCUAUACAAAAAUCUCCAAAUGGGUCCGAACUUCAAUGUCUAAAACUCCUGGUAGAGGACAAGGAUCACGCUCAGGGUGGCCAAAUUCCGUGCGACUGCCAUAAAAUUUAGGGAACAAGCUGUGCUACCAAAAUGAUUAAGCUCUUAAAUGACAAUUUUAGGUUAUAUUUUAGUGAAACAUUAUUAUUAUUAUUAUUAUUAUUAUUAUUAUUAUUAUUUCUACCCCACCCAUCUGGCUAGCUUUCCCCAGCCACCAUGGGCGGCUUCCAGCAAAAUAUUAAAAUACAAUAGUGUGUCAAACAUUAAAAGCUUCUCUAAACAGGGCUACCUUCAGAUGUCUUCUAAAAGCCAGAGAGUUGGUUCUUUCUUUGACAUCUGAUGGGAGGGUGUUCCACAGUGGGGGCUCCACCACCGAGAAGGCCCUGUGCCUGGUUCCCUGUAACUUCUCACAGAGGGAACCGCCAGAAGGCCCUAGGAGCUGGACCUCAGUGUCUGAGCUGAACGAUGGGGUUGGAGAUGCUCCUUCAGCUAUACAGGAUGGGGCCGUUUAGGGCUUUUAGGCUAGGCACCAACACUUUGAAUUGUGCUUGGAAACGUCCCGGGAGCCAAUGUAGGUCUUUCAAGACCGGUGUUACGUGGUCUCGGCAGCCACUCCCAGUCACCAGUCUAGCUGCCGCAUUCUGGAUUAAUUGUAGUUUCCAAGUCCCCUUCAAAGGCAGCCCCACAUAGAGCGCAUUGCAGUAGUCCAAGCGGGAGAUAACUAGAGCAUGCACCACUCUGGCGAGACAGUCCGCGGGCAGGUAGGGUGCCUGCGUACCAGGUGGAGUUGGUAGACCUGCGCCUCCAUGGACAGCUUUGAGUCCAAAAUGACUCCCAGGCUGCGCACCUGGUCCUUCAGGGGCACAGUUACCCCAUUCAGGACCAGGGAGUCCUCCACACCUGCCCACCCCCUGUCCCCCCAAAACAGUACCCCCACACCCACCUGCCCCCUGUCCCCUCGACAGGCGCGACCAAGGCAGUUUCAGUCCCAUGGUGAGGCCUGGAUCACAACUGGAAGGGAUCCAAAUUGUCCGCUUCUUCCAAGUUAAGAUUUAACUUAUAUGUUUUUAACUACUGCUAUAUCCGUAUUGUCCCUGUUAGACCCAAUUGCCAUUCAAUGUAUCCCUCUUGUGUUUUUAUGAUUUUCCUGAGAUUGUAAGUGAGCCGGAACUGGUCUGUGACUGUAAUAAUAAAUUCAUUCACUGAAGGGCCAAGUUGGGCCAUGCCUGCAGAGGGUUUUGAUUCUUGCCAUGUUUUGAGCCACUUUGAGUAUGUAUUUUUCCGUGUAUAAGACUAGGUUUCCCCCCUAAAAAAUAAUGUCCAAAAUUGGAGGCGUCUUAUACACGGGGGCCAUCUCCCCCCAUUUUCUUAAAUCAGAGUCCCCCCAAAUAAGGGGUGUCGUAUGCAUGGGGGCGUCUUAUAGACAGAAAAAUGUGGUAUAUAUAUGUAUGGGAAAGCAGAUUGCAGUGUGAAUAAAAAAGUCAUCCGCCUGUCUUGUAAGACGAAGGAAGAAUGCACUGCCUUUGGGAGUAAAGUCAAACCCUUGCAGGCAUGGCCCAACUUGGCCCUCCAACUAUUUUUGGGACUACAACUCCCAUCAUCCCUAGCUCAUGGGACCAGUGGUACAAUAAACUACAAUACAAUAAAAUGGCAGCAAAUGUCAGUGUAACGCACAAGGCUACAACGAAGGAAGUGAGGGAAGGUAUUGAGGGCUGGCAAUUUAUUGCAGUUUAUUCAGCUCAUAACAAUUGUCCCCUCUUUGGUGGUUUAUUUUCUAAUAACACUAGUAAAUUAAGCACGAGAGCCUGUACAGCAGAGUUUGAGCAGAAUGGCAAAUAUCAAUCCUUUGGAAAUGAACUUGGUCCCGUUAUUUUAGGAUAGGGACAUCCAACUCCCAAUAGACUGUGAUCUACUCACUGUGAAAAAACAGUUUUUUUGGGAAGCCAAGGUGGUGAAUGGAACUGAAUGAUUGGAACUGAAUAUAUGAAUGAAUGAAACUGAAUGAGCAUUGCGAUAUACACAAAGCACAAUCAAAAUUUGAUUAUAUAAAACACAGUGGAGGGUCUUGAAUCCCCAGUCCGAUAGUGGAACUUAAUCUGAUGACCCACUUUUUUGCUAGGAAGCCAAAGUUGCUGAGCUUUUCUUUGGAAAGCCAAAGUUCUUGAGGUUUUUUUAGGAAAGGCAAAGUUAUUGAGCUUUUUUUUGGGGGGGGGGGGAGUAGAUCACUGAAGGGUCAGAGAUCUACCAGUAAAUCAUGAUCUGCCUGUUGGACAUGCCUGUUUUAGGAAAUGUGGGGUAUGUGCUGCUCUUAUCCUAUGGCUUAGAAAGAACCCACAGCUCACACUAACAGAAGCCAAAGAGUCAUAGAAUCAUAGAAUCAUAGAGUUGGAAGAGACCACAAGGGCCAUCGAGUCCAACCCCCUGCCAAGCAGGAAACACCAUCAGAGCACUCCUGACAUAUGGUUGUCAAGCCUCUGCUUAAAGACCUCCAAAGAAGGAGACUCCACCACACUCCUUGGCAGCAAAUUCCACUGUCGAACAGCUCUUACCGUCAGGAAGUUCUUCCUAAUGUUGAGGUGGAAUCUUCUUUCUUGUAGUUUGGAUCCAUUGCUCCGUGUCCACUUCUCUGGAGCAGCAGAAAACAACCUUUCUCCCUCCUCUAUGUGACAUCCUUUUAUAUAUUUGAACAUGGCUAUCAUAUCACCCCUUAACCUCCUCUUCUCCAGGCUAAACAUGCCCAGCUCCCUUAGCCGUUCCUCAUAAGGCAUCGUUUCCAGGCCUUUGACCAUUUUGGUUGCUCUCCUCUGGACACGUUCCAGUUUGUCAGUGUCCUUCUUGAACUGUGGUGCCCAGAACUGCCCAGAACUGGACACAGUACUCCAGGUGAGGUCUGACCAGAGCAGAAUACAGUGGCACUAUUACUUCCCUUGAUCUAGAUGCUAUACUCCUAUUGAUGCAGCCCAGAAUUGCAUUGGCUUUUUUAGCUGCCGUGUCACACUGUUGGCUCAUGUCAAGUUUGUGGUCAACCAAGACUCCUAGAUCCUUUUCACAUGUACUGCUCUCUUUUUUUUCUUCUUUUUUUUAAAUAAUUUUUUAUUAAGGUUUUAAACAAACAAAAAAGAAAAACAACACACACAAAAAACAAUACAAAACUUAACAAUAAAAACACAAAACAUAACAAUUAAAAACAAACUCUCUUUUCCAUUUCCAAUUUUAAAUUACUUAUUUUCUGGACUUCCUCAUACCUCCCUCUUUUGUAUUCCAAUCCACAUUAUUUGUCCAGCAGUUUCUUUUCCACUUUUUAAUCCCAAUCUUUAAUUUAAUAAAACGUUAAAAUAUAUAACUUCAACUUUUUAAACCUAAUCCUUGAUCUUAAUGUCAUAUAGCUUUAAAUUUUUCCCUUUUAUUAUCAAAUUUCCAUUUCUUUAAACAUCUUUAAUCUUGAUCUUUAAUCUUAAUCUAUCCUUAACUUUAACCUGUACAGCUGGAAACCACUUGUUUUCAGUCCAACAUCACUCUAACAUUCCUUAAUUUUGCAGUGUUUCUGAAGAUAGUCUUUGAAUUUCUUCCAGUCUUCCUCCAUCGACUCUUCUCCCUGGUCACGGAUUCUACCAGUCAUUUCCGCCAAUUCCAUAUAGUCCAUAAGUUUCAUCUGCCAUUCCUCCAGCGUGGGAAGUUCUUGUGUCUUCCAAUACUUUGCGAUGAGUAUUCUUGCUGCUGUUGUUGCAUACAUAAAGAAAGUUCUAUCCUUUUUUAACACCAUUUGGCCUACUAUGCCCAGGAGAAAGGCCUCUGGUUUCUUGGGGAAGGUAUACUUAAAUACCUUUUUUAAUUCAUUAUAUAUCAUUUCCCAGAAAGCCUUAAUCUUUGGGCACGUCCACCAAAGGUGAAAAAAUGUACCUUCAAUUUCUUUACAUUUCCAACAUUUGUUAUCGGGCAAGUGAUAGAUUUUCGCAAGCUUGACUGGGGUUAUGUACCACCUGUAUAUCAUUUUCAUAAUAUUCUCUCUUAAGGCAUUACAUGCCGUAAAUUUCAUACCUGUGGUCCAUAACUGUUCCCAGUCAGCAAACAUAAUGUUAUGACCAACGUCCUGUGCCCAUUUAAUCAUAGCCGAUUUUACCGUUUCAUCUUGAGUAUUCCAUUUCAGCAGCAAGUUAUACAUUCUUGACAAGUUCUUAAUCUUGGGUUCUAACAAUUCUGUUUCUAAUUUGGAUCUUUCCACCUGGAAGCCAAUUUUCCUGUCCAAUUUAAAUACCUCCAUUAUUUGAUAAUAAUGAAGCCAGUCUCGCACUUUGUUUUUAGUUUUUCAAAACUCUGCAAUUUCAGUCUAUCUCCGUCUUGUUCCAAAAUUUCCCAAUAUUUCGCCAUUUGACCUCCAUAUUGACCUUUUUCAAGGCUUUCGCUUCCAUUGGUGACAGCCACCUUGGGGUUUUAUUUUCUAGCAAAUCCUUAUAUCUUAUCCAAACAUUGAAUAGCGCUUUCCUGACAAUAUGGUUUUUAAAUGCUUUAUGUGCUUUGACCUUAUCAUACCAUAAAUAUGCAUGCCAUCCAAAUACAUUAUUAAAACCUUCCAGAUCCAAAAUGUCAGUGUUUUCAAGAAGUAGCCAUUCUUUGAACCAGCAAAAGGCUGCUGAUUCAUAGUACAGUUUAAGGUCUGGCAGGGCAAAUCCACCUCUUUCCUUUGCAUCCGUUAGUAUUUUAAAUUUUAUUCUGGGUUUCUUGCCCUGCCAGACAAAUUUAGAAAUAUCUUUCUGCCACCUCUUGAAACAAUCCAUUUUGUCCACGAUCUGCAAAGUUUGAAACAAAAACAACAUUCUAGGCAAUACAUUCAUCUUUAUCGCAGCAAUACGGCCUAGCAGUGAAAGCUUCAAAUUUGACCAAAUUUCUAAAUCUUUUUUCACUUCUGACCAACGUUUUUCAUAAUUAUCUUUAAAUAAAUUCCCAUUUUUUGCUGUCAUGCUAAUCCCCAGGUAUUUAACUUUCUUAACCACUGUUAAACCUGUCUCAUUCUGAAACCUCUCCACAUGUACUGCUCUCAAGCCAGGUGUCACCCAUCUUGUAUUUGUGCCUCUCAUUUUUUUUGCCCAAGUGCAAUACUUUACAUUUCUCCCUGUUAAAAUUCAUCUUGUUUGUUUUUGCCCAGUUCUCUAAUCUGUCUAGGUCGUUUUGAAGUGUGAUCCUGUCCUCUGGGGUGUUAGAGUCACGGAGUAUAAAGAGCAGAAUUUUUAAUUCUGUGUCAAAUAUUUAGACAGAGGCCUUUGUAAACAGAAUUAUCCCCCCCCCCCCCAUUUUGGUAUUUCUGCCGAGGUUUCCCCCAUAAAUUCCAACCCAGUUUCUCCUUUCCCAUCCUCGGUGGUGCCAAACCCUUUUGCAAAACAGGGAGCUGCCGCCGUCAGAAGCUGCCAUAUUUGGUUACAGUCUCCCAACUUGGUCUGGAGUGUGUGAGUUCCUUCACUUUGAAGGUGAUGUGUGAAGGUUUUUGGCCCUGCGAAUGCAGAAAGCAAAAGAUAGCAAACCUAAAAGUUCAAAACCUUCCAGCUUUGCUCGCCGUCUUGGCUUGUUCUCGCAGUCGCUGGGAGAGAUCACCAGUGGGUUUGGGGAUGGACAUUCAUCAGUAUGUGGAUGGUACCCUCUUUUUUCAGAUCGGAACCGGUAAAGGCAGUGAAGGUCCUGUGUCUGGAGGCAGUUGGAGGACGGGUGGCUGCUAACGGGUUGAGGUUGAAUCCUGCAAGACAGAAGUCCUGUUGUGCGUGGGCAGGUGGGGAGCACUCCCUGGUCCUGAACGGGGCAACUGUGCCCCUGAAGGACCAGCUGCGCAGCCUGGGGGUCAUUUUGGACCCAUGGAGGUGCAGGUCCAUUCUGUGUCCAGGGCAGCUCCUUGUGGGACGCAGGAUGAGACCCUACCUGCCCAGAGCAGCACAUGCUCUGGUUACCUCUCGCUUGGACUAUUGCUAUGCGCUCUAUGUGGGGCUGCCUUUGAAGAUGCCCUGGAAACAACAACUAAUCCAGAAUGCGGCAGCCAGACUGGGGACUGGGACUGCUGAGACUACAUAACCCCGGUCCUGAAAGACCUGCAUUGGCUCCCGGGACGUUUCCAGGCACAAUUCAAAGAGUCAGUGCUGACCUUGAAAGCCCUCAAUGGCCUCAGCCCAGUAGACCCGAAGGAGUGCCUCCACCCCAGACGCCAGGGUCCCUCUCCCCAGGGCCUUCUGGUUCCCUCCCUGCAAGAAGCGAAGUUACAGGGAACCAGGCAGAGGGCCUUCUCGGUGGUGGCGCCCACCCUCUGGAACGCACUCCCAUCAGAUCUCAAAGAAAUAAGCAACUCUCUGGCCUUUAGAAGACAUCUGAAGACAGCCCUGUUUUGGGAAGUGUUUUGUACUGAGUUGAAUAGGAUCCAAACUGCAGCAGUCUGAUUGGUCCUAGAACAAUAGGAUCCAAAUUGCAGCAGUCUGAUUGGUCCUAGAACAAUAGGAUUCAGAAUGCAGCAGUCUGAUUGGUCCUAGAACAAUGCAGCAGUAUGAUUGGUUGGCAGGAACCACCCAAUCAUGCUCCAGAUAUAAGUGAAUCCACAACCUGAUUGGCUUACAGUAGAAUUCCAGAAUUAGCCAAUCAUGUGCAGCCCAUUGUGUAAAUAAUGUAUAUAAAGCAGAUACUUUGAGGGGACUUUCAUUCAUUCCUCCUCACCACUAUGAGCUGAAUAAAGAGCAUGAAAUCACUUUGCGACUCUGAGUAUAUAGAAUAGAAUCAUAGAAUCAUAGAAUCAUAGAGUUGGAAGAGACCACAAGGGCCAUCGAGUCCAACCCCCUGCCAAGCAGGAAACACCAUCAGAGCACUCCUGACAUAUGGUUGUCAAGCCUCUGCUUAAAGACCUCCAAAGAAGGAGACUCCACCACACUCCUUGGCAGCAAAUUCCACUGUCGAACAGCUCUUACUGUCAGGAAGUUCUUCCUAAUGUUGAGGUGGAAUCUUCUUUCUUGUAGUUUGGAUCCAUUGCUCCGUGUCUGCUUCUCUGGAGCAGCAGAAAACAACCUUUCUCCCUCCUCUAUGUGACAUCCUUUUAUAUAUUUGAACAUGGCUAUCAUAUCACCCCCUAACCUCCUCUUCUCCAGGCUAAACAUGCCCAGCUCCCUUAGCCGUUCCUCAUAAGGCAUCGUUUCCAGGCCUUUGACCAUUUUGGUUGCCCUCCUCUGGACACGUUCCAGUUUGUCAGUGUCCUUCUUGAACUGUGGUGCCCAGAACUGGACACAGUACUCCAGGUGAGGUCUGACCAGAGCAGAAUACAGUGGCACUAUUACUUCCCUUGAUCUAGAUGCUAUACUCCUAUUGAUGCAGCCCAGAAUUGCAUUGGCUUUUUUAGCUGCCACGUCACACUGUUGGCUCAUGUCGUUUGUGGUCAACCAAGACUUCUAGAUCCUUUUCACAUGUACUGCUCUCAAGCCAGGUGUCACCCAUCUUGUAUUUGUGCCUCUCAUUUUUAUUGCUCAAGUGCAAUACUUUACAUUUCUCCCUGUUAAAAUUCAUUUUGUUUGUUUUGGCCCAGUUCUCUAAUCUGUCAAGGUCAUUUUGAAGUGUGAUCCUGUCCUCUGGGGUGUUAGCCACCCCUCCCAGUUUGGUGUCAUCUGCAAAUUUGAUCAGGAUGCCCUUGAGUCCAUCAUCCAAGUCGUUGAUAAAGAUGUUGAAUAAGACCGGGCCCAAGACAGAACCCUGUGGCACCCCACUAGUCACUCUUCUACAGGAUGAAGAGGAACCAUUGAUGAGCACCCUUUGGGUUCGGUCAGUCAGCCAGUUACAAAUCCACUGAGUGGUAGCAUAGUGAAGACCGCAUUCUACCAGCUUCUUUACAAGAAUAUCAUGAGGCACCUUGUCAAAUGCCUUGCUGAAAUCAAGGUAGGCUACAUCCACUGCGUUCCCUUCAUCUACCAGGCUUGUAAUUCUGUCAACAAACGAGAUCAGGUUAGUCUGACAUGACUUAUUUUUCAGAAAUCCAUGCUGACUACUGGUGAUCACAGCAUUCCUUUCUAGGUGCUCACAGACUUUUUGCUUAAUGAUCUGCUCCAGAAUCUUCCCUGGUAUUGAUGUCAGACUGACUGGGCGGUAAUUAUUUGGGUCCUCUCUUUUCCCCUUUUUGAAAAUAGGGACAACAUUUGCCCUCCUCCAGUCUGCCGGGACUUCGCCUGUUCUCCAGAAAUUCUCAAAGAUGACUGCCAGUGGUUCUGAGAUCACAUCUGCCAGUUCUUUUAAUACUCUUGGAUGCAGUUCAUCUGGCCCUGGAGACUUGAAUACAUCUAAACUAGCCAAGUAUUCUUGUACUAUCUCCUUAGUUAUUCUGGGCUGUGUUUCCUCUGCUAAAUCAUUUGCUCCAAAUUCUUCAGGUCGGGCAUUGUUUUCUUUAUUGGAGAAGACUGAGGCAAAGAAGGCAUUGAGGAGUUCAGCCCUUUCUGUGUCCCCUGUUUGCAUUUCACCAUCUUCUCCUCUGAGUGACCCCACUGUUUCUUUGUUCUUCCUUUUGCUACGGACAUACCCAUAAAAGCCUUUUUUGUUGCUUUUAACCUCUCUAGCAAGCCUGAGUUCAUUCUGUGCUUUAGCUUUUCUGACUUUGUGUCUACACGUGCUGGCUAUUUGUUUGAAUUCCUCUUUGGUGGUUUCCCCCCUUUUCCAUUUUUUGUACACAUCUUAACUCAGUUAAAAGUUCUUUAGAUAGCCACCCUGGCUUCUUUAGGCACCUUCCAUGUUUCUGUCUCAUUGGUGUUGCCUGAAGUUGUGCUUUUACUGUCUCCCUCUUAACAAACUCCCAGCCAUCAUGAACUCCCUUUCCUUUUAGUAUUACUGUCCAUGGGAUCUCACCCAGCACUUCCUAAGUUUUAUGAAGUCGGCUUUCUUAAAGUCAAGAAAUUGAGUCCUAGUAUGCUUGGCUGCUCCUUUCCGCUGUAUAGUAAACUUCAGAAGAGCAUGAUCACUCGCGCCUAAUGAUCCUUCCACUUCUACCCCACUAACCAGGUCAUCAGCAUUGGUUAGGACCAGAUCUAAAAUGGCUGUUCCUCUUGUUGCUUCUCCCACUUUCUGGACAAUGAAGCUGUCUGCAAGGCCAGUGAGGAAUCUGUUUGACCUUAUGCUCUUGGCUGAGUUUGACAUCCAACAAAUAUCCGGGUAAUUGAAGUCGCCCAUUACUACUAUCUCCUUCCUUUUGCAUGCUUGGCCAUCUGUUCCAGGAAGGCAUCAUCUAUGUCCUCCGUUUGGCUUGGGGAUCUAUAGUAAACUCCCACAAUGAGGUCACUGUUAUUCUUCUUUCCCUUAAUUUUGACCCAAAUGCUCUCACUUUGGCUUUGAGGUUCUAAAUCUUGGAUCUCUUCACAGGUAUACACAUCCCUGACAUAUAACGCCACUCCUCCUCCUUUCUUGUCUGGUCUGUUUCUCUGAAAUAGAUUGUAUCCCUCCAUUAUUACAUUCCAAUCGUGGGACUUAUCCCACCAGGUUUCAGUGAUGCCUAUUAUGUCAUAUUUAGUUUGCUGUACCAAGAGCUCAAGCUCAUAAAAUAUGUGUCCAUAUUUCACUGGCAACGAAGGUGGGAUCCCGCUAAGCUGACUGCCACACACAGCACCGCAGCACCGCCACCUGCCGCACCGCUGCCUCGCACCGUGUAUCCAGGCUUCAGCUCCGGGACCCAAGGAACUCAGAAUGGCAACCGACAGCAGCUUCUCGCCGUUCAACCCAGCAUCUGGAGACUGGGAAGCGUACGCCUCCCGUUUCACCUUCCUCCUAGAAGCCAAAGGGGUCACCGAUGAAGAAGACGCCAAGAAGAGGGCGAUAUUCUUCAGCGUCUGCGGAGAGGAGACGUUUGAAAUCGCCCGGGCUCUCCUUGCACCUGAAGACGUUGCUACUGUUCCAUACAAAAUAAUAAUGGAACAGCUGAAGGGGCACUUUUUGCCGCAGCCCUCAGUGGUGGCUCGUGGAAAUGCCUUCUACGCAAAGCGGCAAGCCCCUGGGGAAACCAUAACUGGGUUUGUGACCUCUCUCCGCCAAGCCGCCCGGUUCUGCAACUUCUCAGAGCUGAAGAACAUGCUUCGGGACCGCCGCGUCGGUGUCCUGAAGGAUGAGAAGCUGCAACGACGCCUCUACGCUAAGAGGACCUAACGUUCCAGGUCACUCUGGAGGAGGCCCUGGCAACGGAAGCUGCCAAGAGGUCGACGCAAGAGGCACGGCCGAGCCUGCCAUCCCAACCGAGGGUCCACCACGAAGACCUCACCGACGACUCAGGAUCUGACAGGGAGGAGGUGCACCGAGUACAGCAGCGCACUCAAGCAGCCCACAUACCACAGCUGCCUCGACGAGAAGGAGGGAAGUGCGUAAGCUGCGGGGAAAGUCACGAGAGGAGGACCUGCCGUUUCUGCAACGCAGAGUGCAGGCAGUGCAGAAAAUCGGGACACAUCGCCCGGGUGUGUCGAGCUCCGCCCACCCGACGCCAGGCAUCAGAUGACCAAUCCAAGAGCCCCUGGUCCCAGGGCCCAACGCACCAAGGCAACUCGACGGAGCUCACGGACUUCCAGGUAUACCAGUUGCCCCACCCCAACGUAGAGAAAAUUUAUGUAGAGGUACAGAUAGAGGGGCCCCCAUGCCGCAUGGAGCUUGACACGGGUUCAGCUCUAUCCAUAAUCUCGGCAAGGACCUUAAGGAAACUGUGUCCUACUGGGGGGUCCCAAACUCAGGCCGGCCCCAUUCACCCUCCGGGACUUCCAGAAACGUAAGGUCCCCACAAUGGGGGUGGGGACCUUCAGGGUGCAAUACCAAGGGCGGACACGGCAACUGGACUUGCUUGUGGUCAAGGGCCCCUACAUUAGCUUACUGGGAUUGGCAUGGUUUGGACCACUGGGGCUAGCCAUCACCGGGGUGAACCACACUACCUUACAAGUAGACGUGGACGCCAUAUGCAAGGAAUUUCCAGGGGUUUUCGAUGGGAAAUUGGGACAGUAUACGGGGCCCCCCAUUGCUCUACAGCUUGACCCUGCAGUACGACCGGUCAGGCUCAAGGCCUGCUGGGUCCCGUUCGCCCUGAAACCCCGUAUAGAUGAGAAAUUGGACCGGCUCGUGGAGCAAGGAGUGCUGGAGCCGGUGCCUAAUGUCCCCUGGGUAACCCCAAUCGUCACACCCGUCAAGCCUAAUGGUUCGGUCCGCAUCUGUGCAGACUACAAAUGUACCAUAAACAAGGCCCUCACGGCCCAUGCAUACCCAGUGCCAGUGGUCAGCCAUGUCCUUACCAUCCUGGCUGGGUCGAAAAUUUUUGGCAAGCUGGACUUGGCCCAAGCAUAUCAACAGCUGCCAGUAGAUGAGGCCCAGCAGAGGCACAGACGAUUGUGACGCACAGAGGAGCAUUCAGGGUAAAGCGGCUGCAAUUCGGUGUCAGUGUGGCACCAGGCAUAUUCCAGAAUCUAAUGGACUCGCUCCUUAAAGGGAUUCCUGGCGUCACCCCCUUCUUCGAUGAUGUGUUGAUUGCCGGGCCCACACCAGAGGAGUUUGAGGACCACACCAGAGGAGUUUGAGGAGGUACGGGCCAUUUGUGAUGCCCCAGCGCCCAAGAGCAAGACUGAACUUCAGGCCUUCUUGGGACUAUUGAACUUUUACCAUUCCUUCCUUCCCCACAAGGCGGCGGUAGCGGAGCCGCUACACAGACUCCUGGACAAGCGGGCCCCUUGGGUGUGGGGCCAGCACCAGGAGGCUGCAUUCCAGGCAGUCAAGGACUUGUUUGUCUCAAACUCGGUCUUGGCACACUUCGACGAGAGGCUGCCGGUGGUGCUAGCAUGCGACGCUUCGCCCUAUGGCAUUGGCGCUGUCCUGGGACACCAACUCCCGGAUGGAAGAGAGGUACCGGUAGCAUACUUUUCCCAGACACUCAACGCAACCGAGCGGAACUACUCGCAAAUAGACAAGGAGGGGCUGGCAAUCGUGAAGGGAGUAAAAAAAUUCCAUGAUUUCUUGUACACCACCCUUCACUGUGGUGACUGACCACAAGCCGUUGCUUGGCUUGUUUGCCCCCGAAAAGCAGACCCCCCAAGUGCUGUCUCCUUGUGUCCUCAGGUGGUCAAUUUUCCUUGCCAGCUACCAGUAUGCACUGAUUCACUGCCCGGGGAAGGUGAUGGGCCAUGCGGACGCCCUUAGCAGGAUACCACUACCGGAAACAGGCCCCGACCCAGCACCUGCACAAGAGGUUAUGAGCCUGGAGCUGCUUCCCGACCGCCCCAUUCAGGCACAAGAAGUUGCACACCAUUCCAAGAAAGACAGGGUUAUCUCCCGGGUCCUGGACUGGGUGUGGAGGGGAUGGCCCAGCAGCAGCCCCGGGCCAGAAUUCGCCAGCUACACAACCCGCAAACAUGAACUGUCGGCCCACAAGGGGUGGGGAAGCAGGGUCAUUGUUCCCCAGCCCCUCCACGAAAGGGUCCUCACAGCCCUACACGAGACACACCCAGGGGUAGUAAGAAUGAAGGCCCUGGCCAGGAGUUAUGUGUGGUGGCCGGGGAUCGACGGAGAGAUAGAGGCCUGGGUCAAACACUGCCAGACCUGCCAAGAAUCCCGCCCAGAUCCCCCAAGGGCCCCAGUGCAGUCCUGGGAGUCCACCCGAGCACCAUGGUCACGCCUGCAUGUGGACUUCGCUGGCCCCUUUCAGGGGAAAACAUUCUUCAUAGUGGUGGACUCCUACACCAAAUGGCUGGAAGUCGCACUGGCACCGUCCACUUCUACAUCCGCAGCCAUCUGGGUACUACGCAGGCUGUUUGCAACCCACGGGCUCCCUGACACUCUCGUGUUUUAAUAUUUGUUUAAUUAUUCGCAGGGGUGGCCAACUCCCAAGAGACUGCAAUCUGCCUACAGAGUUAAAAACUGGCAGUGAUCUACUCACUUUGGGGGGGUUCAGGUCAAAGUUGUUGAGCUUUUCUUAGGGAGGAGAAAAGUCCCGUUUUGGGGGAGUGCAGGGCAAAAAUGUUGAGCUUUUUUAGGCGAGUCAAAGGUGUUUAGCUUCUUUGGGGGGAGCCAGUGACCUGCCAGUGACCCCAUUGCUUCCCUCCCUGCAGAGAAACAUGUGAGGUCAAUUGGGUAGAGUCCAAAUGGUUUCAGGAUGGUCUUCUUGUGCUGUUUCAGACACGUGGUUUACAUCUUUAUGUACAUGUUUGCCUUGUACAUUAUUGAACAUUGAAUUUAUAUCUUGGAGACCUUCAGUUCUUACAACACUCUGAAGGAAGUAUUCCAUGUCUGGUGUUGAGAAGGAGCCUCCUAAGCAAGCGUUUAGAGUGAAAGUUGUCGCCUUCGUCCAAACAUGCUUUGCAGCGAAGCGGCCAAAACCCUCCCAUUUUGUGUCCCUCCAUUUCCAACAUUUCCAAAUAAAGCUCUUUCUCCCCGCAGCUUCUUCUGCAGUGACUAAUACACUGGAAACCUCUUCCAAGGCCCCGUGCUUAUACUUUGUUCCUGUUUGGAAAAACAAGCCAAGUCUCCAUUUGUCUCCGUUUUAUUACGUUUGCCAAGAAUUGAUAUACAGUUGUACCUCAGGUUACAGACGCUUCAGGUUACAGACUCUGCUAACCCAGAAAUAGUACCUCGGGUUAAGAACUUUGCUUCAGAAUGAGAACAGAAAUCGUGCUCUGCCAGCGCGGCAGCAGCGGGAGGCCCCAUUAGUUAAAGUGGUGCUUCAGGUUAAGAACAGUUUCAGAUUAAGAACAGACCUCCGGAACCAAUUAAGUACUUAACCAGAGGUACCACUGUAUACCAAAUGAAAUUAGUUUUAUUUCCCAUUGGGCAGCGGCCGCAGACACAUUGCAGGCUCAGGAUUCUCUCCCAGCCGAUGUGAAGCAAUGUGGCCUUUUCUGAAAGUGAGCCUCCAUGGUUUUACUAGCGCUCCUUUCCUCAAUUUUCCUUGGUGCCUUGUCUCCUUGCCUUAGUCCCCCGCCUGGUUUCUGAUACACUUUCCAACAUAGCCCCAAAGCAGUUGCUUUUGCAAUACCACCAACUGCCCCAAACAGAGGGUUGUGAUGAGUUAAUCUCACACCUUUAAGCUUGAAAGGGGUGGUGGUGGUGGCCCAAAGGGCCAAAAUAAAUGUCAUAAUGUGUAUCCCUAGAAAUCCUUCAGUGUACUUCUAAAAGGAAAGUUAUGGUAACCUGUUGCUUUAUGAAACUGAGGAUUUUGCAAGUUGCCCCCCCCCCCAUUGGGGCAGGAAUACAGUCUUACCUCUGCUUACUCUGGAUACGUAAUUUUUGGGAUGCAAACGCAGCAAACCCGGAAGUAUUUUUCUGGUUGUUGCCGCGCACACAUGCGCAGAAGCGGUCCUCCAGUUGCAAAUUCCUCGGGAUGCAGCCAGACCUCCAGAACAGAUCCCGUUUGCAACCAGGGGUACCACCGUACAGCUGAUUGUGGAUCACAAAGAUACAGCUCAAAGCUAGAACCGCUACAUGGUGCAAACGGCAUGCACGCUAACACAAUGUAACACAGGCAUCCCCAAUCUUCAGCCCUCCAGAUAUUUUGGACCAAUUCCCAUCAUCCCUGACCACUGGUCCUGUGAGUUAGGGAUCAUGGGAGUUGUAGGCCAAAACAUCUGGAGGGCUGCAGGUUGAAGAUGCCUGAUGUAACAGCACAUGGUGGGAAUCCAAGCUUACUUGACAGAAAUGGGUGAGAAUCAAAACUGAAUCGGCACAAAUGGCCACUCCUUAUUACACAUGUAUAUUAAACAUAAAAUGAGGUGAUAGGCAAACUUGGCCCUCCAGCUGUUUUGGGACUACAACUCCCAUCAUCCCUAGUUAACAGGACCAGUGGUCAGGGAUGAUGGGAACUGCAGUCUUAAAACAUCUGGAGGGGGCCAAGUUUGGCCAUGCCUGAUCUAGGGCAUAAUGAUAUUUGUUUCUUAUAACCUCCAAGAGAAACUUUGCCAUGACCAGUGUAAUAUCAUUUGACCUGUCUUCUGAAAGAUAUUUAAUAUGGGGGACUUUGGAUUUUCCCGGCAAAUUUGCCAGGAAGGGUUUGAUCCGUUGAUCCCUUCCUCACAUUGCCCACAAUGCAGUAGGAUAUGCUUCAUACAACUAGUGGAAACUGGAAUCCUUUGUUUGAAACUUUAUCAACACCACUACCAGAACCACUGGGCGGGGUUGCACUUUUGCAGAACAAUCUGGCUGUAACCUAUUGCUUUGCAAUCAGCGUUGGACUUUUAACUCCUCAAGCUCCUGGGUUUUCAUUGGCAGGAGAUAAGCCACUUUAGGCUUCCAACAUAACAAAAGGGCAUAUUGCAGUCUAGAAUUUACUUCACCAUUUUGUUUUAAAUCCUGCUUUGCACAUUUGUAAGCAGGAAAAUUGCUUUAUUUUUUCUUCCAGCAAGCAUGAAAAAGCCAGUUCUCUUUCUGGUAGCAAAGCUGUACUUUUCCAGAAUAAAAAAUCAGAGUCACUUUGCUUUCCUGCCUGCAAUAGGACAUGUUGUUGUUGUCCUCCUCCUCCUCCUCCUCCUUCUCCUUAUCCUUCUCCUUCUCCUCCUUCUCCGGCGAUCCCUCGUAGCCGAGUAAGAUUUUCUUCCAUAAAUAUGGAUUUUAACAGUGAGCCUGUAAGUGACUGUGGAGGCCAAUUCUGGAUUCACACAUCCUUCCACAGUGGGGACAUUGGUUUCUGGGCAGGAGUUGAUCCCAGCGAGUCUUCCUUCCUCUUCGCCCGUUUCUCCCUUGCGUCCCGAGUUUGAGUGUCUUCAAAGCCCACGACACCUUUGGUCAAGGCUGUUCUCCCAUUGGAGCGCUCGCAGGCCAGUGCUUCCCAGUUGCCGAUGUUUGUACUACAUUUUUUAAAGAUUUGCUUUGAGAUCUUUCAACCUCUUUUGGAGACCACAAAACAGACCUCAGCGUAACACUCAAAGCAGAAGUGUGGCACUCAAAUCAGAAGCAGAACCAGGGCUGUCUUGAGCACGCCAGGCACUCCUGUCUUCCACUGCCUCCCGCAGUUUGGUCAAACUCAUGUUUGUAGCUUCGAGAACACUGUCGUCCCCUUCUCCUUGCACCCUUCAUUUUUCCCAACAUCAGGGUCUUUUCCAGGGACCCUUCUCUUCUCACAAGGUGGUAUUGGAGCCUCAGCUUCAGGAUCUGUCCUUCCAGUGAGCACUCAGGGCUGAUUUCCUUCAGAAUGGAUAGGUUUGAUCUUCUUGCAGUCCAUGGGACUUUCAAGAGUCUCCUCCAGCACCAGAAUUCAAAAGCAUCAAUUCUUCGGCGAUCAGCCUUCUUUAUGGUCCAGCUCUCACUUCCAUACAUCACUACUGGGAAAACCAUAGCUUGAACUAUAAGGACCUUUGUUGGCAAGGUGAUGUCUCGGAUUUUUAAAAUGCUGCCUAGUUUUGUCAUUUAGUUUAGCCACCCCCAAUUUUUUUGGGGGGGGGCAAACUCAAAGCUUUUAGUUUCCUUACUCAUCAGGAAUAUUUGCCGCCAUGGAGUAACAGAGUGGCAGAGGGUGGGGGCAGGGACUUUCACUCCCGUGCUUUUCACUGCUGCCAAUAGAGAGGGGCUGGUACAGUUGCAGGCGGGAUCCGUUCCGGAGAUCUGGCCGGAUCCCAAGGUUUCCACAAUCCUUCCAGGCUUGCUGCGCGCGUAUCUCAAAGGAUAUGUGACAAGAGGGGCACGUAAGUAGAGGUAGCACUGUAUACAAUAGGUAUACAUUGGGCACCCCCCAGAAUCCGGCGCCCUGGUUCCCUACACCCCCUUGCACCCCCAGGUCGAGACAGGCCUGAGCGUGCUCAAAACGGAGUACGUUCGGCUUCUGGGAAAAGUCCACCAACCGGAACACUUCCCUCCGGGUUUGCAGCGUUUGAAAACCAACGUUGCACCGUAUAGUAGCAUUGCUUUCCUUGCUCCUUGCCUUCUGAAGGAGCUUUUGUCUCUCUGUCCUUCCCUCACCCCACACUCAGUCUCCCUCUCGACACUAAAAAUUCCUCAACGCUUCAGUCAUUUCUCCUUUGUGCAGCUAUCUAAACUGUGUACAUACACGGCGGGGACAUAAUUUUGAAUUACAGCAAUGGAAAAAAACUAGAAAGCCACCCAGGGCUGGAAUCAUGAGCCGUAUAUGGGAUCCAGAUUAGUUUUCACGGGGUGUUGGCUGACUUUAUAUGAAGGGCCACCACACCUUCUUCUGCUGGAUUUUGCCAAACUUAAUUCUAGAAUCGUGACCUUUCCUUGUUUUUGCUUGCGUUGCUAGGGACCUGGAGCAGACCGUGCAUUAACAGGACAGCUUUGGGGUGAAGAGUAUUGUUUCUAGGACAGUUCCUGAGGAGGAACUCUGCUUUUUAAGAUGCUGUCUAGCUUUGCCGUCACUUUUCUCCCAAGAAGCAGGCGUCUUUUAAUUUCAUGUCUGCUGUCACCAUCUGCAGUGAUCAUGGAGCCCAAGAAAGUUGUUUUUAUUAUUGUUGUUGUUGUUAUUUUAAUAUUGCAUACACACACACACACACACACACACACACACAUCAAAUAUACCAGGCAUGUCCAACAAGUAGAUUGCGACCUACUGGCAGAUCAUGGGGUGUUCUUGGUAGAUCCUGAUAGAUUUCCGGCCCCUCAGUGAUCCCCUCCCACCCCCCAAAAAAGCUCAACAACUUUGCCUUCCCAAGAAAAGAUCAACAACUCUGGCUUCCCAAAAACAGCUCAACAAUUCUGUGCCCCCCCCCCAGCUCAACUCAACAACUUUGGUCCGUCCAACGACAAUGGGUAGAUCACUGCUAGGUUUUUUUCACACUGUGAGUAGCUCGCAGUCUAUUGGGAAUUGGAAAUAUAUUUACAGAAUGUAAAGGAAGAAAUGUUAGAAGAUGUUCUCUUUUUAAAAAAUGUAAUACUGUAAGAAGAAAUAAAAAUAAAUAAAUAAAAAGUAUGCAUCCCUCCCCUCCUCCUCGCCUCCCACCCCAUGUUCCUGUGGGAGAGUUGGUUUAUGCUUAAUUUUAACAGGGAGAAAUGUAAAGUAUUGCACUUGGGCAAAAAAAAUGAGAGGCACAAAUACAAGAUGGGUGACACCUGGCUUGAGAGCAGUACAUGUGAAAAGGAUCUAGGAGUCUUGGUUGACCACAAACUUGACAUGAGCCAACAGUGUGACGUGGCAGCUAAAAAAGCCAAUGCAAUUCUGGGCUGCAUCAAUAGGAGUAUAGCAUCUAGAUCAAGGCAAGUAAUAGUGCCACUGUAUUCUGCUCUGGUCAGACCUCAGCUGGAGUACUGUGUCCAGUUCUGGGCACCACAGUUCAAGAAGGACACUGACAAACUGGAACGUGUCCAGAGGAGGGCAACCAAAAUGGUCAAAGGCCUGGAAACGAUGCCUUAUGAGGAACGGCUAAGGGAGCUGGGCAUGUUUAGCCUGGAGAAGAGGAGGUUAAGGGGUGAUAUGAUAGCCAUGUUCAAAUAUAGAAAAGGAUGUCACAUAGAGGAGGGAGAAAGGUUGUUUUCUGCUGCUCCAGAGAAGUGGACACGGAGCAAUGGAUCCAAACUACAAGAAAAAAAGAUUCCACCUAAACAUUAGGAAGAACUUCCUGACAGUAAGAGCUGUUCGACAGUGGAAUUUGCUGCCAAGGAAUGUGGUGGAGUCUCCUUCUUUGGAGGUCUUUAAGCAGAGGCUUGACAACCAUAUGUCAGGAGUGCUCUGAUGGUGUUUCCUGCUUGGCAGGGGGUUGGACUCGAUGGCCCUUGUGGUCUCUUCCAACUCUAUGAUUCUAUGAUUCUAUGCUUCUUUUUAUCAAAAACAAAUUCCUAACAGAAAGUGGCAAAGUGAGGCAAUGUUGUUGCCAGCAGGGUUCCUGUGCGUUGCAAAUUAAUGUGCCACUUUUCUUUUACUUUCUAUGAUCUUAAAUGCUUGGCUCUUGCCCUUGAAGAAGAAGAAGAAGAAGAAGAAGAAGAAGAAGAAGAAGAGUUUGGAUUUGAUAUCCUACUUGAUCACUACCCGAAGGAGUCUCCAAGCGGCUAACAAUCUCCUUUCCCUUUGAGG
RNAcentral lists this long non-coding RNA (19334 nucleotides) under Podarcis lilfordi (Lilford's wall lizard). The record is from RNAcentral. Lineage: Eukaryota; Metazoa; Chordata; Lepidosauria; Squamata; Lacertidae.